This 20-nucleotide ribosomal RNA is filed under the name Epicoccum sorghinum. RNAcentral describes it as "partial 18S ribosomal RNA". The record is from RNAcentral. Lineage: Eukaryota; Fungi; Ascomycota; Dothideomycetes; Pleosporales; Didymellaceae.
GACCUGCGGAGGAUCAUUAC